This 492-nucleotide ribosomal RNA is filed under the name uncultured bacterium. Its description in RNAcentral is "partial 16S ribosomal RNA". It matches the Rfam family "Bacterial small subunit ribosomal RNA", at positions 29 to 507 of the family's 1533-position model. The record is from RNAcentral.
AGUGAACGCUGGCGGUAGGCCUAACACAUGCAAGUCGAACGGCAGCACAGUAAGAGCUUGCUCUUACGGGUGGCGAGUGGCGGACGGGUGAGGAAUACAUCGGAAUCUACUUUUUCGUGGGGGAUAACGUAGGGAAACUUACGCUAAUACCGCAUACGACCUACGGGUGAAAGCAGGGGAUCUUCGGACCUUGGGCGAAUGAAUGAGCCGAUGUCGGAUUAGUUAGUUGGCGGGGUAAAGGCCCACCAAGGCAACGGUCCGUAGCUGGUCUGAGAGGAUGGUCAGCCACACUGGAACUGGGACACGGUCCAGACUCCUACGGGAGGCACCAGUGGGGAAUAUUGGACAAUGGGCGCAAGCCUGAUCCAGCCCUCCCGCGUGGGUGAAGAAGGCCUUCGGGUUGUAAAGCCCUUUUGUUGGGAAAGAAAAGCAGCAGGUUAAUACCCCGCUGUUCUGACGGUACCCAAAGAAUAAGCACCGGCUAACUUCGUG